Urocitellus parryii (Arctic ground squirrel) is the source of this 69-nucleotide small nucleolar RNA. The record is from Ensembl. NCBI's taxonomy places the organism in Eukaryota, Metazoa, Chordata, Mammalia, Rodentia, Sciuridae.
AGCAGGAGUGAUGAGUUGAAUACAGCCCCAGUUGAUCAUGGGACAGAAAGAUAUUCUCAGAGAGUUGUG